GCCUCCGUGGAUGAACGGUAAAUUGCCCUGAAAUUGUUAUCAUGAGCCUGCUUGAUCAGUAGGGAGACGUGGGUUCGAGUCCCACCGGAGGCG
Molecule: non-coding RNA, 93 nt
Organism: Mycena leptocephala
Lineage: Eukaryota; Fungi; Basidiomycota; Agaricomycetes; Agaricales; Mycenaceae
Source: the annotation of a GenBank genome assembly